UGAGAUUCUCGCCACAGAGUGUCUUUGUGCCGUCCUACUAACACGAUAAGUUACACAAGUUUGACUACAACAUCAACUUAAUUUUGUCUUUUUGUCAAUCACAAGCACUACUUGCUUCUCCUUCCACUUGUCAUUGGCAGAAUCGUCGACGUUUGCAUCGACAUGGAUUGCCAUAAAUAAAAAUAGAAUAGAAUAGAAU
Molecule: long non-coding RNA, 199 nt
Filed under: Helicoverpa zea (corn earworm)
Lineage: Eukaryota; Metazoa; Arthropoda; Insecta; Lepidoptera; Noctuidae
Description: uncharacterized LOC124641342, transcript variant X1
Source: RNAcentral